CGUAGGGUGCGAGCGUUGUCCGGAAUUAUUGGGCGUAAAGGGCUCGUAGGCGGUUUGUCGCGUCGGGAGUGAAAUCCAUGGGCUUAACUCAUGGCUUGCUUUCGAUACGGGCAGACUAGAGGUAUGCAGGGGAGAACGGAAUUCCUGGUGUAGCGGUGAAAUGCGCAGAUAUCAGGAGGAACACCGGUGGCGAAGGCGGUUCUCUGGGCAUGAUCUGACGCUGAGGAGCGAAAGUGUGGGGAGCGAACAGGAUUAGAUACCCUGGUAGUCCACACCGUAAACGUUGGGCGCUAGGUGUGGGAUCCAUUCCACGGGUUCCGUGCCGCAGCUAACGCAUUAAGCGCCCCGCCUGGGGAGUACGGCCGCAAGGCUA
This 373-nucleotide ribosomal RNA is filed under the name uncultured organism. RNAcentral describes it as "bacterial SSU rRNA". It matches the Rfam family "Bacterial small subunit ribosomal RNA", at positions 526 to 896 of the family's 1533-position model. The record is from RNAcentral.